UCAUAUGCUUGUCUCAAAGAUUAAGCCAUGCAUGUCUAAGUAUAAACACCUUUAUACUGUGAAACUGCAGAUGGCUCAUUAAAUCAGAAAUAAUUUAUUUGAUGGUGACCUACUACAUGGAUAACCGUAGUAAUUCUAGAGCUAAUACAUGCGUAUAAAGCACAACCUCCGGGUUGUUGCUGUAUUUAUUAGAUAAAAAACCAAACCCUUCUGGGCUUUGUGCUGAAUCAUAAUAACUGUUCGAAUCGCACGCUUACGCUGGCGAUAGUUCAUUCAAAUUUCUGCCCUAUCAGCUAUUGACGGUAGUGUAGUGGACUACCGUGGCAUUAACGGGUAACGGAGAAUUAGGGUUCGAUUCCGGAGAGGGAGCCUGAGAAACGGCUACCACAUCCAAGGAAGGCAGCAGGCGCGCAAAUUACCCAAUCCCGACACGGGGAGGUAGUGACAAGAAAUAGCGAUUCCGGGUCUUUAUAGAUCUGGUUAUUGCAAUGGACGUAUUGUAAAUGCCUACGUGAGUAUCC
This 521-nucleotide ribosomal RNA is filed under the name uncultured eukaryote. RNAcentral describes it as "SSU rRNA". It matches the Rfam family "Eukaryotic small subunit ribosomal RNA", at positions 24 to 546 of the family's 1831-position model. The record is from RNAcentral.